AGUCGAACGGUGGUAGCAAUACCAUAGUGGCGCACGGGUGCGUAACACGUAACUAACCUACCUAUAACUGGGGGAUAGCCCGCCGAAAGGCGGAUUAAUACCGCAUAAGCUCUUGACCCGGCAUCGGGUUAUUAGUAAAGAUUUAUUGGUUAUAGAUGGGGUUGCGGGUCAUUAGCUAGUUGGUAAGGUAACGGCUUACCAAGGCGACGAUGACUAGGGGAGCUGAGAGGCUGGUCCCCCACACGGGCACUGAGAUACGGGCCCGACUCCUACGGGAGGCAGCAGUAGGGAAUAUUGGGCAAUGGGCGAGAGCCUGACCCAGCCAUGCCGCGUGCAGGAAGAAGGCUUUCUGAGUCGUAAACUGCUUUUGACAGGGAAGAAUAAGCUGUACGUGUACAGUGAUGACGGUACCUGCAGAAUAAGCACCGGCUAACUCCGUGCCAGCAGCCGCGGUAAUACGGAGGGUGCGAGCGUUGUCCGGAUUUAUUGGGUUUAAAGGGUGCGUAGGCGGCCCGUUAAGUCCGGGGUGAAAGCCCGUUGCUCAACAACGGAACUGCCCUGGAUACUGACGGGCUUGAGUACAGACGAGGUUGGCGGAAUGGACCGAGUAGCGGUGAAAUGCAUAGAUACGGUCCAGAACCCCGAUUGCGAAGGCAGCUGACUAGGCUGUUACUGACGCUGAGGCACGACAGCGUGGGGAGCGAACAGGAUUAGAUACCCUGGCAGUCCACGCCGUAAACGAUGGAUACUCGCUGCGAGCUAAAGAUUGUUCGUGGCCUAGGGAAACCGAUAAGUAUCCCACCUGGGGAGUACGCCGGCAACGGUGAAACUCAAAGGAAUUGAC
Molecule: ribosomal RNA, 844 nt
Filed under: uncultured bacterium
Lineage: Bacteria
Description: bacterial SSU rRNA
Rfam family: Bacterial small subunit ribosomal RNA
Source: RNAcentral